UACGUAGGUGGCAAGCGUUGUCCGGAAUUAUUGGGCGUAAAGGGCUCGCAGGCGGUUUCUUAGGGUAGAUGUGAAAGCCCCCGGCUCAACCGGGGAGGGUCAUUGGAAACUGGGGAACUUGAGUGCAGAAGAGGAGAGUGGAAUUCCACGUGUAGCGGUGAAAUGCGUAGAGAUGUGGAGGAACACCAGGGGCGAAGGCGACUCUCUGGUCUGCAACUGACGCUGAGGAGCGAACGCGUGGGGAGCGAACAGG
RNAcentral lists this unclassified non-coding RNA (253 nucleotides) under uncultured Bacillaceae bacterium. Its description in RNAcentral is "contains 16S-23S intergenic spacer region". It matches the Rfam family "Bacterial small subunit ribosomal RNA", at positions 524 to 776 of the family's 1533-position model. Lineage: Bacteria; Bacillati; Bacillota; Bacilli; Caryophanales; Bacillaceae. The record is from RNAcentral.